CAAGUCGAGCGGUAACAGGGGUAGCUUGCUACCCGCUGACGAGCGGCGGACGGGUGAGUAAUGCAUAGGAAACUGCCCAGUAGUGGGGGAUAGCCCGGGGAAACCCGGAUUAAUACCGCAUACGUCCUUCGGGAGAAAGCAGGGGAUCUUCGGACCUUGCGCUAUUGGAUGUGCCUAUGUCGGAUUAGCUAGUUGGUGGGGUAAGAGCCUACCAAGGCGACGAUCCGUAGCUGGUCUGAGAGGAUGAUCAGCCACAUCGGGACUGAGACACGGCCCGAACUCCUACGGGAGGCAGCAGUGGGGAAUAUUGGACAAUGGGGGCAACCCUGAUCCAGCCAUGCCGCGUGUGUGAAGAAGGCUUUCGGGUUGUAAAAGCACUUUCAGUGAGGA
This 390-nucleotide ribosomal RNA is filed under the name uncultured Gammaproteobacteria bacterium. RNAcentral's name for it is "bacterial SSU rRNA". It matches the Rfam family "Bacterial small subunit ribosomal RNA", at positions 58 to 445 of the family's 1533-position model. The record is from RNAcentral. Lineage: Bacteria; Pseudomonadati; Pseudomonadota; Gammaproteobacteria.